This is a long non-coding RNA of Crotalus tigris (Tiger rattlesnake), 572 nucleotides long. RefSeq lists it as uncharacterized. Lineage: Eukaryota; Metazoa; Chordata; Lepidosauria; Squamata; Viperidae. The record is from RefSeq and is a predicted model, not a curated record. The transcript has 2 exons.
CUGGCUGGUUCUUGUCAUGGUCUCAGAAUGUUCAGGCUCCUGGCAGGAAGAACAGUGACACACUGUUUGGAAAGUAAAUCCAAGGAUUUAGGAAGUAAAAACAGCACCCUGGGAGUUGGAGUCCCCUCCCACAUGGAGUCUCAGGAGUCUUUCCUCAUCAUCUGCUACCUGAUCUGUUUCCUUGGGGCAGCAGGAUUGAAAGUGGAGCCUUUUGCCUUGCAAAUCUUAUGGUGGAGAAGAAUGAAUUGAGAACCCGCCUGUUUGGACUGCAAGACACCAGCUGUCUGCCUCUACUCUCAUAAACUGAAAUGUGGUGCCUGUGUUUUACAUCAGGGGUCCCCCACCUUUUUGGUUCUGUGGACGGAUGGCAGUGGUUGCGGCGGCUUUGCUGGUUUUGGUGGUGGUGGUGGUGGUGCGAUGGUUCCGUGCACAACCUAAAUCCAAUGCAUACACAAAUGAAGCUUUGUGCAUGGUUCCCAGGCCCGGGAGGUUGGUGAGGAAAACCUUAGAAAAAGAUGCUACCUUAAAGUCAUCAUACCCAAGGUUGUUGCAUUAAAGAGCCUUCACUGAAA